UACAGAGGGUGCAAGCGUUAAUCGGAAUUACUGGGCGUAAAGCGUGCGUAGUCGGUUAUUUAAGUCGGGCGUGAAAGCCCCGGGCUCAACCUGGGAAUUGCGUUCGAUACUGGAUAGCUAGAGUUCGGCAGAGGGAAGCGGAAUUUCGGGUGUAGCGGUGAAAUGCGUAGAUAUCGGGAGGAACACCAGUGGCGAAGGCGACUACCUGGCCUGUUCUUGACGCUGAGGCGCGAAAGCUAGGGGAGCAAACGGG
This 253-nucleotide ribosomal RNA is filed under the name uncultured bacterium. Its description in RNAcentral is "partial 16S ribosomal RNA". It matches the Rfam family "Bacterial small subunit ribosomal RNA", at positions 524 to 776 of the family's 1533-position model. The record is from RNAcentral.